RNAcentral lists this ribosomal RNA (253 nucleotides) under uncultured bacterium. RNAcentral's name for it is "partial 16S ribosomal RNA". It matches the Rfam family "Bacterial small subunit ribosomal RNA", at positions 524 to 776 of the family's 1533-position model. The record is from RNAcentral.
UACGGAGGGGGCUAGCGUUGUUCGGAAUUACUGGGCGUAAAGGGCGAGUAGGUGGCCAUCUAAGUCAGACGUGAAAUCCCCCGGCUUAACCUGGGAACUGCGUCUGAUACUGGACGGCUUGAGUAUGGGAGAGGAAUGUAGAAUUCCAGGUGUAGCGGUGAAAUGCGUAGAUAUCUGGAGGAAUACCGGUGGCGAAGGCGGCAUUCUGGACCAUUACUGACACUGAAUCGCGAAAGCUAGGGGAGCAAACGGG